RNAcentral lists this long non-coding RNA (605 nucleotides) under Theobroma cacao (cacao). RNAcentral describes it as "long non-coding RNA (TCAC_LNC000896)". Lineage: Eukaryota; Viridiplantae; Streptophyta; Magnoliopsida; Malvales; Malvaceae. The record is from RNAcentral.
UUCUUCUUCACCUUCAUGCUCCCACGCCAUUUUCAUGCUUCCAUGCCAUUUUCACCUUGCCACCAUGCAUUUGAAAAGAAAAAUGGCUUUGUUUUGCAAAGAAAACCGUACUCUUGGAAAGAAAAUAGAUGAGAUCAGUUGGAAAAAAGGAGAAAGGAAAGAAAGGAGAAAGAAAAAGAGAGAAAGGAAGAAAAAGCUUGGUUUUGGUGAUUCAAGUAAGGAAAGGUAAGGAUUCUUGUUUUUAGCUUGAGUAAUCUUUGAAAAUGAGUUAGUGACUAAGAGAAAUGUCUUGUGGCAGCAAAGAUUGGCUUGAUUGGAGAAAAAUUGGUGACAUACAAGCCAAUAAACCCAUGGGUACAUGAUGAACUCAAAGUGAAAAAGGAAAGCGAUAAGCUUAACACUAUGUUUUCAAGCCUACGGUUAGUUGAAUAUUGUGAAGAAAUAAUUGUGCAAGUGUGGGCAGCAUAUGAAUGUAAAUUAUGGUGCAUGUAAACUUAUGAAAUGCUUGAUGAAAUUAGAUUUAUAAUUGCUGCCAUAUAUGUGGUUUAUGUUGAGAAAACAUAUGACAAAUUUGAAUAAAAAUCGUUGGAAAGGUUGAAAUGGGC